This 489-nucleotide long non-coding RNA is filed under the name Chinchilla lanigera (long-tailed chinchilla). Its description in RNAcentral is "lncRNA (ENSCLAG00000026726.1)". Lineage: Eukaryota; Metazoa; Chordata; Mammalia; Rodentia; Chinchillidae. The record is from RNAcentral.
UUCCAACAGACCUCGCGGCAGCCUGGGCUGGAAGAUAAGGAAGCCAAACUUCUGUGGGCAGAGCGCCCUCUGGAGGAAGUACCGUGGAAGCAAUGCAGCCGACUGGUAUGGGCCAACACCGUCCUUCCAAGACAAGCACAGAGACCGGAGGGUGAAAGAUCUCAACAAGCCCUGCAAGAGCAUCUACACACAGGUCCUGAGAGGCAGUGCUGGAAGCCUACACCUCAAGCUGAUGUCAGGGCCAGGCCAUCAUAUUGAAACCCUGCUCGAGUUUGCAGAGAGAAUUUCGUGGGUGGGGCUUUGGGAACUGUUCUGUGCACUUGCUCCAGGAUCCUGUAUUCAACAGGUCCUGCCUACUUCCCCAGCCAGCCCUGCCACACCCUAAUCUCUUAUGUCAUUAGCAUAACAGCCUCCUAAAUUCUGACUCUAAAUAGAAGUAGAAAGAACUAAAACAUGCUCACUAUAAAUUAAAAAAUGUUUAAUCCAGGC